This 700-nucleotide ribosomal RNA is filed under the name uncultured beta proteobacterium. Its description in RNAcentral is "bacterial SSU rRNA". It matches the Rfam family "Bacterial small subunit ribosomal RNA", at positions 94 to 789 of the family's 1533-position model. Lineage: Bacteria; Pseudomonadati; Pseudomonadota; Betaproteobacteria. The record is from RNAcentral.
AGUGGCGAACGGGUGAGUAACACAUCGGAACGUGCCCAAUCGUGGGGGAUAACGUAGCGAAAGCUACGCUAAUACCGCAUACGAUCUACGGAUGAAAGCGGGGGAUCGCAAGACCUCGCGCGAAUGGAGCGGCCGAUGGCAGAUUAGGUAGUUGGUGGGGUAAAGGCUCACCAAGCCGACGAUCUGUAGCUGGUCUGAGAGGACGACCAGCCACACUGGGACUGAGACACGGCCCAGACUCCUACGGGAGGCAGCAGUGGGGAAUUUUGGACAAUGGGCGCAAGCCUGAUCCAGCAAUGCCGCGUGCAGGAUGAAGGCCUUCGGGUUGUAAACUGCUUUUGUACGGAACGAAACGGUGAGCUCUAAUACAGUUUGCUAAUGACGGUACCGUAAGAAUAAGCACCGGCUAACUACGUGCCAGCAGCCGCGGUAAUACGUAGGGUGCAAGCGAUAAUCGGAAUUACUGGGCGUAAAGCGUGCGCAGGCGGUUAUGUAAGACAGAUGUGAAAUCCCCGGGCUUAACCUGGGAACUGCAUUUGUGACUGCAUAGCUAGAGUACGGUAGAGGGGGAUGGAAUUCCGCGUGUAGCAGUGAAAUGCGUAGAUAUGCGGAGGAACACCGAUGGCGAAGGCAAUCCCCUGGACCUGUACUGACGCUCAUGCACGAAAGCGUGGGGAGCAAAACAGGAUUAGAUACCCUG